This 497-nucleotide ribosomal RNA is filed under the name uncultured bacterium. Its description in RNAcentral is "partial 16S ribosomal RNA". It matches the Rfam family "Bacterial small subunit ribosomal RNA", at positions 28 to 507 of the family's 1533-position model. The record is from RNAcentral.
GAUGAACGCUGGCGGCGUGCCUAAUACAUGCAAGUCGAGCGAACGGACGAGAAGCUUGCUUCUCUGAUGUUAGCGGCGGACGGGUGAGUAACACGUGGAUAACCUACCUAUAAGACUGGGAUAACUUCGGGAAACCGGAGCUAAUACCGGAUAAUAUUUUGAACCGCAUGGUUCAAAAGUGAAAGACGGUCUUGCUGUCACUUAUAGAUGGAUCCGCGCUGCAUUAGCUAGUUGGUAAGGUAACGGCUUACCAAGGCAACGAUGCAUAGCCGACCUGAGAGGGUGAUCGGCCACACUGGAACUGGGACACGGUCCAGACUCCUACGGGAGGCAGCAGUAGGGAAUCUUCCGCAAUGGGCGAAAGCCUGACGGAGCAACGCCGCGUGAGUGAUGAAGGUCUUCGGAUCGUAAAACUCUGUUAUUAGGGAAGAACAUAUGUGUAAGUAACUGUGCACAUCUUGACGGUACCUAAUCAGAAAGCCAGGGCUAACUACGUG